CCCGCUGAACUUAAGCAUAUCAAUAAGCGGAGGAAAAGAAACCAACAGGGAUUGCCUCAGUAACGGCGAGUGAAGCGGCGACAGCUCAAAUUUGAAAUCUGGCUUCUCGGAGCCCGAGUUGUAAUUUGUAGAGGAUGUUUCGGGUACCGCUCCGGCUUAAUUUUCUUGGAACAGAAUGUCACAGAGGGUGAGAAUCCCGUCUGGAGCCGCGGUAGGGCCUAUGUGAAACUCCUUCGACGAGUCGAGUUGUUUGGGAAUGCAGCUCAAAAUGGGUGGUAAAUUUCAUCUAAAGCUAAAUAUUGGCCAGAGACCGAUAGCGCACAAGUAGAUUGAUCGAAAGAUGUCAAGCACUUUGAAAAGAGAGUUAAACAGUAUGUGAAAUUGUUGAAAGGGAAGCGCUGGCAGUCAGACUUGCGUGUAGGGGUUCCCCCUCGCUUCUUCUUUGGUUACUCCCCUAUAUCCAGGCCAACAUCGGUUUUGGCGGUCGGUCAAAGGCCUUGGGAAUGUACCUUCCCCCGGGAAGACUUAUAGCCCAGGGUGUCAUGCGGCCUGCCGAGGACCGAGGAACGCGAUUCGGCUCGGAUGUCUGGCGUAAUGGCUUGUCAGCUGACCCGUCUUGAAACAGCGG
RNAcentral lists this ribosomal RNA (628 nucleotides) under uncultured fungus. Its description in RNAcentral is "eukaryotic LSU rRNA". It matches the Rfam family "Eukaryotic large subunit ribosomal RNA", at positions 24 to 664 of the family's 3401-position model. Lineage: Eukaryota; Fungi. The record is from RNAcentral.